CCUACGGGGGGCAGCAGUGAGGGAUAUUGGUCAAUGGGGGAAACCCUGAACCAGCAACGCCGCGUGAGGGAAGACGGUUUUCGGAUUGUAAACCUCUGUCCUCUGUGAAGAUAAUGACGGUAGCAGAGGAGGAAGCUCCGGCUAACUACGUGCCAGCGGCCGCGGUAAUACGUAGGGAGCAAGCGUUGUCCGGAUUUACUGGGUGUAAAGGGUGUGUAGGCGGGUUUGCAAGUGAGGAGUGAAAUCCAUGGGACUAACCCAUGAACUGUUUUUGAAACUGCAGAGCUUGAGUGGAGUAGAGGUAGGCGGAAUGCCCGGUGUAACGGUGAAAUGCGUAGAGAUCGGGAGGAACACCAGUGGCGAAGGCAGCCUACUGGGCUCUAACUGACGCUGAGGCACGAAAGCGUGGGUAGCAAACAGGAUUAGAUACCCGGGUAGUC
Molecule: ribosomal RNA, 440 nt
Filed under: uncultured bacterium
Lineage: Bacteria
Description: partial 16S ribosomal RNA
Rfam family: Bacterial small subunit ribosomal RNA
Source: RNAcentral